RNAcentral lists this long non-coding RNA (461 nucleotides) under Ananas comosus (pineapple). Its description in RNAcentral is "long non-coding RNA (ACOM_LNC010417)". The record is from RNAcentral. Lineage: Eukaryota; Viridiplantae; Streptophyta; Magnoliopsida; Poales; Bromeliaceae.
CGCAGGUUAAGUUUGCCGUCGAAAAAAAAUACAUCUUGGGUAUUUCAUCGAACAGUUGGUAGGCGUGGUGCGUUGCGCAACUCCGAUUGCGUUGGAAUCGCAACAGAGAGUUGGAAGUCGCGGCUAUGAUAGAGUCGGUGUAGUGGCAAGGUCGAAGGUAAAGAAAUCGACGAGGUCGUCGGGCAUCAACUCGGGAUGGACGCCGACAUUCCGCAGCAUCCGCAGCAGGUACUCUAACAGCACCACUUCGCGCACGAUGAUCACUGCCGACGACAUCCCCUCUCCUCCGUCCGAGCGCUCGAUGAGGACGCGGAAGAGCGGGUGGUCGAUGAGGUCGGAGCUGACCAGGUACCGGCGUUGGGACUUGUCGACAUAGAUUGGGUGUAGCCCGCGCGACACGACGUCCAAAUGCUUGUCGACGGCGCUGUCGGCAUCAAAUUUUGGCUCCUCCAACCGCUGCU